GGCAGUUACUACAAGUAUGUGCACAAGAGUAUUCAACAUGCAAAUGCAUAAGUAUGCAACUAAUCCAAUGUCCACAAUGUAAAUAGUAAAGAUGUCAUUGUUUACUAUUCUAGUCAAUGUCCACUUGUCACUUUAAUUGUUUACAGUUCAACUUUGAUAAGACCCACCCGAAGGCUGUUUGGCAUAAGACCCACCCGAAGGCUGUCUAGCUUUACCGUGCCUAAUGGCCCCGUGGUAGUCAACAUCCCCACUCUAGGAAUGAGCCUUUCCCACAGCAAUCCACUUCGGCGCCCAAUCCCGCACGGCGAACGUAUCGCGAUAGCCAACUCCGGAGUGCCGGCUUGUAAGGAGCGACCCUCACAAGCAUGUGCGAAUGAGCACAAUAGCAAGCAUGCGUAUAAGUCUGUCUCAAGUACCAAGUCUUCAUGUCUAAAACAUGGAAUAUAUCGAAUGUCACAAAGGCCUAUCACUAUGUCAUCAUGUCUCUAACAUGGAAUAUAGUCGAUGUCCAAUGGCCUAUCACUAUGUCUCUAUGUUGCAUUUUCAUAGUUUACUAGUUCCAAGUGUCCCUUUAUGACACUAUUGCUCAAUGAGUCCAAGCAUGGUAUUUAUGUUCAUGAAUACAUAAUUCUACUCAUUUCAAACAUAAGAGACAUGUUCUCAACUUGCAAAGCUAUCCAUCUUUCACAAUGCAUGCAGUCUACACAUAUAGCUCUACUAUAUAGAGUUCAAUUUCAUAAAUACAU
RNAcentral lists this long non-coding RNA (746 nucleotides) under Ananas comosus (pineapple). RNAcentral describes it as "long non-coding RNA (ACOM_LNC012019)". Lineage: Eukaryota; Viridiplantae; Streptophyta; Magnoliopsida; Poales; Bromeliaceae. The record is from RNAcentral.